UACGAAGGGGGCUAGCGUUGUUCGGAUUUACUGGGCGUAAAGCGCACGUAGGCGGAUCGUUAAGUCGGGGGUGAAAUCCUGGAGCUCAACUCCAGAACUGCCUUCGAUACUGGCGAUCUUGAGUCCGGAAGAGGUGAGUGGAACUCCUAGUGUAGAGGUGAAAUUCGUAGAUAUUGGGAAGAACACCAGUGGCGAAGGCGGCUCACUGGUCCGAUACUGACGCUGAGGUGCGAAAGCGUGGGGAGCAAACAGG
Molecule: ribosomal RNA, 253 nt
Filed under: uncultured bacterium
Lineage: Bacteria
Description: partial 16S ribosomal RNA
Rfam family: Bacterial small subunit ribosomal RNA
Source: RNAcentral